UACGUAGGCAGCAAGCGUUGUUCGGAAUUACUGGGCGUAAAGGGCUCGUAGGCGGCCGACUAAGUCAGACGUGAAAUCCCUCGGCUUAACCGGGGAACUGCGUCUGAUACUGGACGGCUUGAGUUCGGGAGAGGGAUGCGGAAUUCCAGGUGUAGCGGUGAAAUGCGUAGAUAUCUGGAGGAACACCGGUGGCGAAGGCGGCAUCCUGGACCGACACUGACGCUGAUGAGCGAAAGCCAGGGGAGCAAACGGG
Molecule: ribosomal RNA, 253 nt
Filed under: uncultured bacterium
Lineage: Bacteria
Description: partial 16S ribosomal RNA
Rfam family: Bacterial small subunit ribosomal RNA
Source: RNAcentral